Molecule: non-coding RNA, 189 nt
Filed under: Opitutales bacterium
Lineage: Bacteria; Pseudomonadati; Verrucomicrobiota; Opitutia; Opitutales
Description: 6S RNA
Rfam family: 6S / SsrS RNA
About the family: E. coli 6S RNA was the first non coding RNA to be sequenced, but its function was unknown until recently. It consists of 184 nucleotides that fold into an extended hairpin structure with a large single-stranded internal bulge.
Source: RNAcentral
CAAGCCCUGCGGUGUUCGUGGCACAGCAACUUGGGUCGCCUCCUUAAUGACAAUAUGAAGGGAGCUUGACCCGUCCGAAUGGGCGCCAGGCCGAUUUGUUUCGGAAGGCGGAAGUUCGGCGGUAGCACCCACCUGCUUAAAAAAAGGCAGCCGCACCCCAACAGCAUUGACGGCACAGGCGGAGCUUGU